GCCCUGGUAGCCUAGUGGUUAAGUGUUUGGCUGCUAACCAAAAGGUAGGCAAUUCGAAUCCACCAGGCA
This 69-nucleotide transfer RNA is filed under the name Loxodonta africana (African savanna elephant). It matches the Rfam family "tRNA". From Rfam's summary of the family: Transfer RNA (tRNA) molecules are approximately 80 nucleotides in length. Their secondary structure includes four short double-helical elements and three loops (D, anti-codon, and T loops). Further hydrogen bonds mediate the characteristic L-shaped molecular structure. tRNAs have two regions of fundamental functional importance: the anti-codon, which is responsible for specific mRNA codon recognition, and the 3' end, to which the tRNAs corresponding amino acid is attached (by aminoacyl-tRNA synthetases). tRNAs cope with the degeneracy of the genetic code in two manners: having more than one tRNA (with a specific anti-codon) for a particular amino acid; and 'wobble' base-pairing, i.e. permitting non-standard base-pairing at the 3rd anti-codon position. The record is from Rfam by way of RNAcentral. Lineage: Eukaryota; Metazoa; Chordata; Mammalia; Proboscidea; Elephantidae.